CUAUCACAUGAGGACUUCACCCGUCGGGUGGAAGAUUUUAAGGAUUCUAUGUCAGACGUGAGGAGGAGUUUCACUGCUAUCAUCAUCAUCUGAUUCAGAACAGGAUCUGGAUCUUGGAGACAUCCUGGGCCUUGGCUGGUGGCGCAGUGGUUAAGAAUCCGCCUGCCAGUACAGGGGACACAAGUUUGAUCCUGAGUCUGGGAAGAUCCCACAUGCCAGGGAGUAACUAAGCCUGUGCGCCACAACUACUGCGUCUGCACUCUAGAGCACUCGUGCCACAACUACUGAUGCCCAUGCACACUGGAGCCUGUGCUCAACAAGAGAAGCCACAACGAGAAGCCCGCACACCACAAAGAAGAGAAGCCUCCAAUCGCCGCAACUAGGUAAAGCCCAUGUGCAGCAACAAAGACCCAAAGCAGCCAAUAAAUAAAUAAAUAAAUAAAUAAAUAAAUAAAUACAGCCAUCCUCGUAGGUGAGAUAUAGUAUGUCACUGUGGGUUUGAUUUGCAUUUUCCUAAUGACUAAUGAUAUUAAGUAUCUUUUCAUGUGCUUGUUGUCCAUUUGUAUAUCUUCUUUGGAGAAAUGUGUAUUCAAGUGCUUUGCCCAUUUUUUAAAUUGAGUUGUCUUUUUGUUAUUUUUAUUGCUCGUGCUUUUGGUGUCAAAUAUAAGAAUCCACUGAUGAACCUAAGGUCAUGAAGAUUUACCCCUAUGUUGUCCUCUGAGAGUUUCAUGGUUUUAGCUUUUAUAUUUAGGUCAUUGACCCAUUUUGAGUUAAUAUUUGCAAAUGAUGUGAGGUAGGGUCCAACCUUGCUCUUUUGCAUGUGGAAAUCCAAGUGUCUCAGCACCAUUUAUUGAAGAGACUAUUCUUUCUCCAUGGAAUGGACUUUGUACUCUUAUCUAAAAUCUAAUGGCCAUAGAUGUAUGGGUUUAUUUCUGGACUCAAUUCUAUUCCACUGGUCUCUAUGUCUACCCUUAUGCCAGUACCACACUAUUUUGAUGACUGCAGCUUUGUAGUAAAUUUUGAAAUCAGGACAUAUGAGUCUUCCAACUUUGUCUUCCUUCCUCAAGAUUGUUUUGGCUAUUUGGAACACCUUGCAAUUCCAUAUGAAUUUGGACCCUGACUUUUCCAUUACUGCAAAAAGGCUACUGGAAUUUAACAGGGAUUGCACUGAACUCAUAGCUCACUUUGAGUAGUAUUGACAUCUUAAUAUUAAGCCUUCCAAUCCAUGAAUAUAGAAUCUUUCCACUUAUUUAGUUUAGGUUUUCUUUAA
This is a long non-coding RNA of Hippopotamus amphibius kiboko, 1270 nucleotides long. RefSeq lists it as uncharacterized. The record is from RefSeq and is a predicted model, not a curated record. Lineage: Eukaryota; Metazoa; Chordata; Mammalia; Artiodactyla; Hippopotamidae. The transcript is spliced from 3 exons.